This 257-nucleotide ribosomal RNA is filed under the name uncultured bacterium. RNAcentral's name for it is "partial 16S ribosomal RNA". It matches the Rfam family "Bacterial small subunit ribosomal RNA", at positions 524 to 776 of the family's 1533-position model. The record is from RNAcentral.
UACGAGGGGGGCGAGCGUUUGUUCGGAAUUAUUGGGCGUAAAGGGCGCGUAGGCGGUUGGAUAAGUCUGCUGUGAAAUCCCCCGGGCUCAACCUGGGAAUGGCAGUGGAUACUGGAUCGCUAGAGUGUGAUAGAGGAUGGUGGAAUUCCCGGUGUAGCGGUGAAAUGCGUAGAGAUCGGGGAGGAACAUCUGUGGCGAAGGCGGCCACCUGGGACCAACACUGACACUGAGGCACGAAAGCGUGGGGAGCAAACAGG